GUGGGGAAUUUUGGACAAUGGGCGCAAGCCUGAUCCAGCAAUGCCGCGUGCAGGAAGAAGGCCUUCGGGUUGUAAACUGCUUUUGUACGGAACGAAACGGUCCGGGUUAAUACCCUGGGCUAAUGACGGUACCGUAAGAAUAAGCACCGGCUAACUACGUGCCAGCAGCCGCGGUAAUACGUAGGGUGCAAGCGUUAAUCGGAAUUACUGGGCGUAAAGCGUGCGCAGGCGGUUUUGUAAGACAGGCGUGAAAUCCCCGGGCUCAACCUGGGAAUUGCGCUUGUGACUGCAAGGCUGGAGUGCGGCAGAGGGGGAUGGAAUUCCGCGUGUAGCAGUGAAAUGCGUAGAUAUGCGGAGGAACACCGAUGGCGAAGGCAAUCCCCUGGGCCUGCACUGACGCUCAUGCACGAAAGCGUGGGGAUCAAACAGGAUUAGAAACCCGGGUAGUCC
RNAcentral lists this ribosomal RNA (450 nucleotides) under uncultured bacterium. Its description in RNAcentral is "partial 16S ribosomal RNA". It matches the Rfam family "Bacterial small subunit ribosomal RNA", at positions 354 to 796 of the family's 1533-position model. The record is from RNAcentral.